CUGCGCGCGGUGAUUGGCUCCGCCGCCGCAGCUGCGCACGAGCCGACCCUCACGGACGCCCCCCUCCUCCAUCGACCCCUUCCUCGCUUUGUCUGUUAAUGGAUGCGUGUGCCGUCCUUCACUUUCUUCCCGUUGGUGUCAGUUGUACCCGCUGGGUCUCAUAGAGCAUGUCUAAUUCCUCUCAUACAAGACAGCAUGGCGACAACUAUUACCACGUGUGUCCCCCCAUCAUCUACUUUCUAAACUAAACAUCUUCAGUGCCUCCUAUUACCUCGUGUGACAUUUGCCAAGAUGAAACUGCUAUUGGUCCCUGUGUUUUUCUCUUUGAAAGCCUUUGCUGAGGGAUUUGCCAUGGUGCCUUAACUCCAGAGAAUCUAAAGCUCUAGGAAGAGUCCCUGAUAAGAGUAACUGAAGAAACCACAAGCAGGAGACUGGCCAAUCUGCCAGGUAGUUACAGAAAUUUUGGACAGAUUUGAGAGGGGAAGACCCAUCCAAAAUACUCAAUUACUAGUAUGAUUUCUUUUCAAUGGAUGGCUUGAAGUAAAGCAAUUGAAGUUUGAUGAAGCCUCAUCUGACAGUAAUUAAAGCCAGGACACUACUACAACAUGAAACAGAAGUGAAGGAAGAAUGGUAAGCCCUCUAGUCUUAUUCCUGAUAUUAAAGAGAAUAUUUUCAAUACUUCUCCAUUACUUAUGAUGUUUGUUUGCUGUUGGAGUGCUUUUACAGAUUUUCUGAAGUUAAUGAAGUUACUUCCUUUUGAAAAUUCUUCCUAGUUGCUAAGAGUUUAUAUCAUGAACACAUGUUGAAUUUUAACAGUACAUUUUUCUGUAACUGUUGAGAUAAUUGUAUCAUUUUCUUCCCUUUAAUUUAUUAAUGUAUUGAAUCAUAGUAAUUGACUUUCUAAUGUUAAAACUAAGUUUACAUUUUGGGGAUAAUUCCAGCUCACUCAUGAUGUAUUAUUACAUUGCUAUGUUGCUGAAUUCAGUUUGCUAAUAUUUUUGUGUAGAAUGUGCCUAUGUUCAUAAACACAGGCAUAUGACAUUGGAUUUAGUUUGCAUUUCUUGUGCCAUCAUUGCCAAGUUUGCUGUUAAGAUUGGGCUACACUCAUACAUUCUGGAAUAAUUUUUAUAAAAAUGACAUUAUUUGUUCCUUGAAUGUUUGAUAUCAUUUAGCAAAACUGCCUGGAGCUGGAUAACUUUUUGUGGGGAUAUUUCAUACUAUUGCUUGAGUAUUUUUAUUUAUUAUAGAGCUAUUCAUAUUUUCUAUUUCCUUUUGAAUCACUUUUGGUGAUUUUUCUAAGGUUUGUCAAUUUUAUCUAAAUUUUUCAGUGUGUUGGCAUUAAGUUGUUCAAAAGACUAUUUUCUUUUUAUUAUAUGUAAUCAUGUUUUUUACAUUUAAUAUAUGCAGCAGGGCUCCUGGGUGGCUCAGUUGGUUAAGCGUCUGACUUCGGCUCAGGUCAUGAUCUCGCGGUCCAUGGGUUCGAGUCCUGUGUCGGGCUCUGUGCUGACAGCUCAGAGCCUGGAGCCUGUUUCGGAUUCUGUGUCUCCCUCUCCUUCUGACCCUCUCCCAUUCACGCUCUGUCUCUCUCUGUCUCAAAAAUAAAUAAACGUUAAAAAAAUUUUAAUAUACGCAGCUAUUUUUUACAUUUUUACAUUACACAAUCUUCACAUUUACAUCAGAAAGUCAAUUACUAUUGUUAACUUGUGCCUCCUCUUUCUCUCUCUUUCAUUAAUUUUGCAGAGAGUGUUAAUUUUUUUAGCCUUUUGAAAAAUCUUUGGUUUUGUGGAUAUUCUUUAUUAUGUGUUCAUUAUCUGCUUUAAUCUUUGUUGUUUCCUUCCUUCUACUUUUUUUUCAAGUUCAUUUAUUUAU
Long non-coding RNA from Panthera uncia (snow leopard), 1869 nucleotides. RefSeq lists it as uncharacterized. The record is from RefSeq and is a predicted model, not a curated record. NCBI's taxonomy places the organism in Eukaryota, Metazoa, Chordata, Mammalia, Carnivora, Felidae. The transcript is spliced from 4 exons.